AGCUCCAAUAGCGUAUACUAAAGUUGUUGCAGUUAAAAAGCUCGUAGUUGAAUUUCUGGUUGUGGAAAUCGGUCUGCACCUCACGGUGUAUGCACCAGGUAGCCAUGUCCUUCCUCGGAGAGAGCAUAUCUGGCAUUUAGUUGUCGGGUGUGAUAUCUUCGUCAUUUACUGUGAGCAAAAUAGAGUGUUCAAAGCAGGCUUAGGCCGUUGAAUACAUUAGCAUGGAAUAAUAAUAUAGGACCUUAGUCUUAUUUUGUUGGUUUGCAUUCUAAGGUAAUGAUUAAUAGGGACAGUUGGGGGUAUUCGUAUUCAAUUGUCAGAGGUGAAAUUCUUAGAUUUAGGGAAGACGAACUACUGCGAAAGCAUUUACCAAGGAUGUUUUCA
Molecule: ribosomal RNA, 384 nt
Filed under: uncultured eukaryote
Lineage: Eukaryota
Description: SSU rRNA
Rfam family: Eukaryotic small subunit ribosomal RNA
Source: RNAcentral